AAGGAGUCUAACAUGUAUGCGAGUAGGUGGGUGUAAAACCUUACUGCUAAAUGAAAGUAAUUGCUGGGAUCCCCAGCGAGCACCAUCGUCCGCUCAUGUGCCACUUGUGACAUAGAUUUGAGUUAGAGCAUAUAUGUUAGGACCCGAAAGAUGGUGAACUAUGCCUGAGUAGGUCGAAGCCAGGGGAAACUCUGGUGGAGGCUCGAAGCGAUUCUAACGUGCAAAUUGAUCGUCAAAUUUGGGUAUAGGGGCGAAAGACUAAUCGAACCAUCUAGUAGCUGGUUCCCUC
Molecule: unclassified non-coding RNA, 289 nt
Filed under: uncultured fungus
Lineage: Eukaryota; Fungi
Description: partial contains 5.8S rRNA, ITS2 and 28S rRNA
Rfam family: Eukaryotic large subunit ribosomal RNA
Source: RNAcentral